CAGACUAGAAGAGGCUUGCUGAAUGGCUCUGCCUCCCUCGCUGGGUUUGACAUUCUCCCCAUUUGUCUUUCAUCGCUCCGAGUCUAUCGGGAAGAACGUCUGUUAGGAGCUUCGCAUCUCAUGACUGCCUCCUCCUCUGCAAUCACCUGAGAAAGAUCUCCAGAGGAACAAAAUGAUGACAACACUAACCUCUGAGGAUAAAACGUGCCUAAACACAGGCUGAAGGAGAACGCAAGGCUGCUGUACAUCUUUGGACUUCAACAACAUGUACUUGACUCAAAAGUUGAGUACUUUCACCAAGAAAAUUCAGUCUCUGACCAAAAAACGCCUAAAACCAGGUACUCAUCAAAACUCCAGCGACGUCUCAUGCUGCAGCAGGAGGAGGAAUAUGCAUUAUUAAAUCAAGCUAGACCUGCAUCCAGGUUGCACAAUACCAUCGCUCAGACCCCAGUUUUCUGAUAUUCCCUACUUCUGUACUACCAGAAAGGCAGCACCUUCUCCUGGAUGCUAUACCAACCCCCUGAGCACGUAAUUUGCCCAACUGCCCUCUACCCAACAUGAGUGCAAACGGCACAGAUCAGCUGGUUGUGGACAAGAGGAGCCACUGACAUGCUUCAGCAGCCCGGGCUGCCGGCAUUAUGUUCCCACACUGCUUUGAGGGAAAGGCUGUGGGCCAGAAAGAAAACACGCUGCAAACUGGAUCCCAGUUGUAGCCUGCUAGCUAGAGCCACGCUGACCAAACCACAGCUCAUCCUUGUAGCCAAAGAGAAGGUUGGGCAACUGCUGCUGUACAAAAGUAACUGCUAGAACAUGCUCCAUGCUGCUGAUUACAGAGGUAUUUCACGCCAAAAUCUCCCAUCCUAAAAAGACACCCUGGAAGGCAGUCUGUCAAUUAAAUCAAGGUGUAAUUUGAUAGAGAUGCGCUAAAAGCACUCAUAAUGUGAAACUGGGAUUCAUGGAUCAUGCACAGACAAGUCCCCUAAAUCGUCCAUCAUCUCUGAAGAUGAUAUGGGUAAGUCACUGGGAACAGAAACUCACAUGUAAUGCCACUUACACACUUCAGCACACUAACUUAUUGAAGUCGUAACCCACUGAUUAAAACCACGUUCCAUGUUUAUCUUCGGGUAUCAGCAAGCACCGACUGAUAAAUCACAGCUACAGGAAUUUUACCCAGAAGCUGGCACUAAGAAUUGCUACUCAGAGGUAUGAUAAGACGUAAAUUCAGAGAGCAGAUGGAGAUCAUGGGAUGAUAACAAAUGCUAUCAGUAGUUUACUGACAUGUCAUUGAAGAGCUAUGUGAGGCCCCCAUCCAACUGGCUUCCUAAAGAUAUAAGGAAACAGAAGAAAUAAGCUACAAUAGUAAGGAAAGACAAAUGAAAACAUUAACCAGCAGUUAGGAUGUCAAAUGGUUUGUAGUCGCUAGGCAGAUGAAGUAAGUACUCUGCAAACUUCUGUAUCAAAGUCUACAAUUGAGGCUUGACAUCAUCAGAAUAAAUCAGCAGCAGCACUCAAAAAACUAGUGUUGCUUUUGUUUGUUUGUUUUUUAUAGAAAAUAUCAUCUAAAGAUGUGCAAUGAUUAUGAAUUCUAAAAAAAGAAACUCAAAGUUCUUCUGUAUUAUUUAUGUUAAUCCUCACAACAGUGCUUACUCUGUCUGACUAUAGCCUUAUUAAACCAGUGUCAAGCAAAGCGCAGAAAUUUUGUAAGGUGUAUUUAGUCCUUAAAUGUGGGACACAGCUGGGAAAGGAACCUGAAUCUUAUCCUGUUGACUAUUGCCCGUUACACAAACUGUCCCCAGUUUGUACGGUAAAUGACUGUUGCCAUUUUUUUUAAGGUGAUCUUGAUAUCCCUGCUAGUUAAAUGAGGCAUUCCAAAAGAGAAAUAUUAAUUUUAAAACACAAGAAGGGAAACUGCAACAGUCUGUUUUCCAAAGAAUGAAAAUGCAAACCCAGCAUGAUGAAGAAAAUGUGCACACAUCCUAAACAUGCAUUUAUCUUAACCUUAGUAACCACACGAUUCCCAGAGAUUUAUUGAUAGAUUUUAUCAGUAAUAUAUGAACAGCAAUGAAGUGGAAGGUUAUAGCAGUGGGUGGUUUCCAACUGAAAAUGUAAGAAAGUAUCUUAUUUGCAAAAUGGUCUUCUCAUGAAACCACAAAAAAUUGCAGCUAGCACCACACCUUAAUCCAUGGGAGUGGUGAGAAGGAAAAACGAGAGUGCUAUGCGGUCUGUUAAGCCUUCAGGUUUAAAGGGCAUGGGUUACUAGAAGAACACAGUUCACCAAUAAGUAAUGUUUAAUAAUGAUGAUAAAACAAAUUAAAAAUGCUCAAAUAUUUUCAUGGACCAGAAGGGAAAUGGUCAUAAUAAGUUAUUAAAAUUCCAGAAACCAUGGGCUGGCGGCAGUUUCAGUAGUUUGUUUCAAUUUAAUAUAUCACUUCCAAAUUUCAGAAUUCCCUUACAGAAAUCCCACUCAUUGUGCAAAAAAAAUACAUCAUCUUAUUAAGCACUUAAAUAUUUACUGAGAACUUAGCAGCAUAAGCCCACAACUCCUCUUCCCUGCCUCUCAGCUCUCAUCUCUACUCCUCCCAGUUUUGCUGCCUACUCGUGCCAGGCUUUCUUGCCUGGAGCCACCAUGCUGCUCUUCAGAGCUCCCCAUCCACUGACAGUGAGCAAAUGGCAGCCACAAGGCAGAGGUUAACAGGGCCAUCUUUUGUAACUUUCGAAAUGACAACAGGGCUCUACACAUCUCACUGAAGAGUAAUAUAACCUCAUGGUCCAGCCUCAGUCUAGUUAGAGGAACAAAGUUUCAUGCUCAGGUUCCCUUGCAGACCACACAUGCUCCUAAACUAUGCAUUCCCUAUUUAACCUUUUCUUACCUCCCCCUCCAAAAUGAAAAGAAUAGAGCUUUCCGGAACAGAAGAUUAACGUUCACCCUUUUAUUUUAUUCAUUUGCAUUUACAGAAUCACAGAAUUGUUGAGGUUGGAAGGGACCUCCAGAGAUCACCUAGUUCAACCCCCUUGCUCAAGCAGGGUCAGCCAGAGCAUAUUAUGCAGGAUGGCAUCGGGGCAGGUUUUGAGUAUCUCCUGAGAAGACUCUACCACCUCUCCGGGUAGCCUGUUCCAGCGCUCUGUCUCCUGAACUGUAAAGUUCUUCCUCAUACAGCAAUGAAACCUCCUGUUGUUCAAUUUAUACCCAUUACCCCUUGCCCUGUCACUGGCCACCACUAAGAAGAGUUUGACCCCAUGAUCGUUACAAGGCCGCCUCAGGUAUUUGUAGAGAUUGAUGAGAUCCCCUCUCAAUCUUCUCUUCUCUUGGCUAAACAGGCCCAGCUCGCUUAGUCUUUCCUCCUGGGACAGAUGCUCCAAUCCCUUGAUCAUCUUUGUAAUCAUCUUUGUAAGCAUUUAGAAAGCAUAUAGGAGGCUGCAGACAGCAGAGCCCAGUGAUGUACCCAUUGCUGAAAGACGAGUCCACCAGCAGCUGCAGUCAGGCUUUUCAGCCAUUCUUUAGCUUGCUGGCACAGCAGCAGCUAUCACUGCUGCUCAUCUUCCACCCACAGCAUAGAAAAAACUCACAGUGCAUUUACUGACACUUCAUUUAGAACCGCAGCCUAACUCACUUUUUUGUGCUGUCCAAGCAGAGCUGACCUACAACACAAAGUUACAGCUAUAUAUUUGUACUGCCAUGAAGCACACAGCCCAUCCAUACGCUAAGGCUCUGCAAUGGGUCUCUGACUCAAAAAGUUUCUACAGCCUUGGACUAAGAUAAAAGCCAGAUGUCAAGUUCAGGUGCAGAAAACACAAGACAAUACUGACAUUUUAUCCAGCACCUUUCAAAUACUCAGAAUAAAGUAUUUUUAUAUAUCUUCUGGAUAAAGGAUAUUAAUGAAUAUUACUAGCAGAAAUAAGACUGUGCAGUGAUAACACAGCUAAGAAAAAACACGCAUCUAAAUAUUUAAUCAUGAUUUUACAUAUUUUGUAUGAGGUUUGUAUACAAACGGCUCCCUGUCACAAUACGAGCACUUCCCUCUCACCACGUAAGCUAGG
Non-coding RNA from Anas platyrhynchos (mallard), 4038 nucleotides. The record is from RefSeq and is a predicted model, not a curated record. Lineage: Eukaryota; Metazoa; Chordata; Aves; Anseriformes; Anatidae.